This 450-nucleotide ribosomal RNA is filed under the name uncultured bacterium. Its description in RNAcentral is "bacterial SSU rRNA". It matches the Rfam family "Bacterial small subunit ribosomal RNA", at positions 354 to 796 of the family's 1533-position model. The record is from RNAcentral.
GUGGAGAAUAUUGGACAAUGGGCGAAAGCCUGAUCCAGCCAUGCCGCGUGUGUGAAGAAGGUCUUCGGAUUGUAAAGCACUUUAAGUUGGGAGGAAGGGCAGUAAGUUAAUACCUUGCUGUUUUGACGUUACCGACAGAAUAAGCACCGGCUAACUUCGUGCCAGCAGCCGCGGUAAUACGAAGGGUGCAAGCGUUAAUCGGAAUUACUGGGCGUAAAGCGCGCGUAGGUGGUUUUGUAAGUUGGAGGUGAAAUCCCCGGGCUCAACCUGGGAACUGACUCCAAAACUGAAUGACUAGAGUACGGUAGAGGGUAGUGGAAUUUCCUGUGUAGCGGUGAAAUGCGUAGAUAUAGGAAGGAACACCAGUGGCGAAGGCGACUACCUGGACUGAUACUGACACUGAGGUGCGAAAGCGUGGGGAGCAAACAGGAUUAGAAACCCCAGUAGUCC